Molecule: ribosomal RNA, 520 nt
Filed under: uncultured bacterium
Lineage: Bacteria
Description: bacterial SSU rRNA
Rfam family: Bacterial small subunit ribosomal RNA
Source: RNAcentral
UCUGGUUCAGAACGAACGCUGGUAGCGUGGAUUAGGCAUGCAAGUCGAACGGGAUCCGGAAGGCAGCAAUGUCGGCCGGUGAGAGUGGCGGAAGGGCGAGGAACACGUGGGCAACCUGGUCUUUGAGGUGGGGAAAACCUCGGGAAACUGAGGCUAAUACCGAAUGUGGCGCGGAAGGGCAUCCUUCCUGCGCUAAAGGGGGCGAAAGCUCCCCCUCUUCGAGGGGCUCGCGCACCAUCAGCUAGUUGGCGGGUAACGGCCCACCAAGGCUCACGGUUAGCUGGUCUGAGAGGAUGGCCAACCGCACUGGGACUGAGAUACUGCCCAGACUCCUACGGGAGGCUGCAGUCGAGGAUCAUUCGCAAUGGGCGAAAGCCUGACGAUGCGACGCUGCGUGGAGGAAUGAAGGCCUUCGGGUUGUAAACUCCUGUCAUGAGGGAAAAGGAGACCCUGCCCAAUACGCAGGGGAUUUGAUGGUACCUCAAGAGGAAGGGACGGCUAACUCUGUGCCAGCCGCUGC